AAGACAACUUUACGGAGUUGACGAUUGAUGGAGCGAAGCGACGUCAAAGCGUUCAUUAAAGUCGAGUUGGCUUAGGGAUACGUUCGUUGGGUAGGGGAGCGUUCUGUAAGCCUGUGAAGGUGGCCUGUGAGGGUUGCUGGAGGUAUCAGAAGUGCGAAUGCUGACAUAAGUAACGAUAAAGCGGGUGAAAAGCCCGCUCGCCGGAAGACCAAGGGUUCCUGUCCAACGUUAAUCGGGGCAGGGUGAGUCGACCCCUAAGGCGAGGCCGAAAGGCGUAGUCGAUGGGAAACGGGUUAAUAUUCCCGUACUUGGUGUUACUGCGAAGGGGGGACGGAGAAGGCUAUGUUGGCCGGGCGACGGUUGUCCCGGUUUAAGCGUGUAGGUGUGUGUUCCAGGUAAAUCCGGUUCACUUUAACACUGAGGCGUGAUGACGAGGCACUACGGUGCUGAAGCAACAAAUGCCCUGCUUCCAGGAAAAGCCUCUAAGCAUCAGGUAACAUCAAAUCGUACCCCAAACCGACACAGGUGGUCAGGUAGAGAAUACCAAGGCGCUUGAGAGAACUCGGGUGAAGGAACUAGGCAAAAUGGUGCCGUAACUUCGGGAGAAGGCACGCUGACACGUAGGUGAAGUGAUUUACUCAUGGAGCUGAAGUCAGU
This 657-nucleotide ribosomal RNA is filed under the name Salmonella enterica. RNAcentral describes it as "partial 23S ribosomal RNA". It matches the Rfam family "Bacterial large subunit ribosomal RNA", at positions 1164 to 1787 of the family's 2925-position model. The record is from RNAcentral. Lineage: Bacteria; Pseudomonadati; Pseudomonadota; Gammaproteobacteria; Enterobacterales; Enterobacteriaceae.